UAGGGAAUCUUCCGCAAUGGACGCACGUCUGACGGAGCAACGCCGCGUGAGUGAAGAAGGAUUUCGGUUCGUAAAACUCUUUUGUUAGAGAAGAACAGCGCAUAGAGUAACUGUUAUGCGUGUGACGGUAUCUAACCAGAAAGCCACGGCUAACUACGUGCCAGCAGCCGCGGUAAUACGUAGGUGGCAAGCGUUGUCUGGAUUUAUUGGGCGUAAAGCGAGCGCAGGCGGUCAAUUAAGUCUGAUGUGAAAACCCCCGGCUCAACCGGGGAGGGUCAUUGGAAACUGGUUGACUUGAGGGCAGAAGAGGAGAGUGGAAUUCCAGGUGUAGCGGUGAAAUGCGUAGAUAUAUGGAGGAACACCAGUGGCGAAGGCGACUCUCUGGUCUGUAACUGACGCUGAGGCUCGAAAGCGUGGGUAGCAAACAGG
Molecule: ribosomal RNA, 429 nt
Filed under: Bacteroidota bacterium
Lineage: Bacteria; Pseudomonadati; Bacteroidota
Description: Bacteroidetes bacterium partial 16S ribosomal RNA
Rfam family: Bacterial small subunit ribosomal RNA
Source: RNAcentral